RNAcentral lists this ribosomal RNA (1076 nucleotides) under Staphylococcus aureus. Its description in RNAcentral is "partial 23S ribosomal RNA". It matches the Rfam family "Bacterial large subunit ribosomal RNA", at positions 801 to 1877 of the family's 2925-position model. The record is from RNAcentral. Lineage: Bacteria; Bacillati; Bacillota; Bacilli; Caryophanales; Staphylococcaceae.
CGGAUGAACUGAGGGUAGCGGAGAAAUUCCAAUCGAACCUGGAGAUAGCUGGUUCUCUCCGAAAUAGCUUUAGGGCUAGCCUCAAGUGAUGAUUAUUGGAGGUAGAGCACUGUUUGGACGAGGGGCCCCUCUCGGGUUACCGAAUUCAGACAAACUCCGAAUGCCAAUUAAUUUAACUUGGGAGUCAGAACAUGGGUGAUAAGGUCCGUGUUCGAAAGGGAAACAGCCCAGACCACCAGCUAAGGUCCCAAAAUAUAUGUUAAGUGGAAAAGGAUGUGGCGUUGCCCAGACAACUAGGAUGUUGGCUUAGAAGCAGCCAUCAUUUAAAGAGUGCGUAAUAGCUCACUAGUCGAGUGACACUGCGCCGAAAAUGUACCGGGGCUAAACAUAUUACCGAAGCUGUGGAUUGUCCUUUGGACAAUGGUAGGAGAGCGUUCUAAGGGCGUUGAAGCAUGAUCGUAAGGACAUGUGGAGCGCUUAGAAGUGAGAAUGCCGGUGUGAGUAGCGAAAGACGGGUGAGAAUCCCGUCCACCGAUUGACUAAGGUUUCCAGAGGAAGGCUCGUCCGCUCUGGGUUAGUCGGGUCCUAAGCUGAGGCCGACAGGCGUAGGCGAUGGAUAACAGGUUGAUAUUCCUGUACCACCUAUAAUCGUUUUAAUCGAUGGGGGGACGCAGUAGGAUAGGCGAAGCGUGCGAUUGGAUUGCACGUCUAAGCAGUAAGGCUGAGUAUUAGGCAAAUCCGGUACUCGUUAAGGCUGAGCUGUGAUGGGGAGAAGACAUUGAGUCUUCGAGUCGUUGAUUUCACACUGCCGAGAAAAGCCUCUAGAUAGAAAAUAGGUGCCCGUACCGCAAACCGACACAGGUAGUCAAGAUGAGAAUUCUAAGGUGAGCGAGCGAACUCUCGUUAAGGAACUCGGCAAAAUGACCCCGUAACUUCGGGAGAAGGGGUGCUCUUUAGGGUUAACGCCCAGAAGAGCCGCAGUGAAUAGGCCCAAGCGACUGUUUAUCAAAAACACAGGUCUCUGCUAAACCGUAAGGUGAUGUAUAGGGGCUGACGCCUGCCCGGUGCUGGAAGGU